Molecule: unclassified non-coding RNA, 269 nt
Filed under: Hevea brasiliensis (rubber tree)
Lineage: Eukaryota; Viridiplantae; Streptophyta; Magnoliopsida; Malpighiales; Euphorbiaceae
Source: RNAcentral
UCUCCUAUCCCAAAUCCAAGCAACCUAGUCAUUCCAUUUGUCUUCAGUCUAGGCUUUGGAAUAUUAUACUGCUUCAACCAAGCAUACAUAAUAAAGACCUUCUUCAUGAUAAACAACUCCAAUGCCUGAGGAUUAGAAACAACACUCAUUUCAUAUUCAUCUAUCAAAUAGACAAUUUCAGAAGCUAGGCGAAUAAUCAUGCAUGUUAGGCUACCAAAUCAUAUACAUAUGCCCUCAUCCAUUGUCUAUCACCUAGUGAGGGACUAACA